Molecule: ribosomal RNA, 562 nt
Filed under: Thelonectria discophora
Lineage: Eukaryota; Fungi; Ascomycota; Sordariomycetes; Hypocreales; Nectriaceae
Description: eukaryotic LSU rRNA
Rfam family: 5.8S ribosomal RNA (bases 178-331)
Source: RNAcentral
GUGGUGACGCGGAGGGACAUUACCGAGUUUACAACUCCCAAACCCCUGUGAACAUACCUUAACGUUGCUUCGGCGGACAACCCUCGCCUUACCGCGAGGGCCCGCCAGAGGACCCAAACCCAACCUUUAUUUUUACCUUUACCUACAUCUCUGAGUGGAUUUUAUAAAUCAAAUCAAAACUUUCAACAACGGAUCUCUUGGCUCUGGCAUCGAUGAAGAACGCAGCGAAAUGCGAUAAGUAAUGUGAAUUGCAGAAUUCAGUGAAUCAUCGAAUCUUUGAACGCACAUUGCGCCCGCCAGUAUUCUGGCGGGCAUGCCUGUUCGAGCGUCAUUAACACCCCUCAAGCCCCCGGGCUUGGUGUUGGGGAUCGGGAACAGCGGAUCGGCCCCCCGGGGCCGCGAAGCCCCCGUCCCCCAAAUGCAUCGGCGGUCACGCCGCGGCCUCUUGCGCGCAGUAGCUAACACCUCGCGCCGGAGCCCGUCGUGGUCCACGCCGCUAAACCCCCGACUUUUUACAAGUUGACCUCGAAUCAGGUAGGACUACCCGCUGAACUUAAGAAAA